Caenorhabditis elegans is the source of this 1299-nucleotide RNA transcript. It is a transcript of the gene named Non-coding transcript of protein-coding gene lec-11, with no coding region annotated. The transcript has 4 exons. The record is from RefSeq and is marked reviewed. Lineage: Eukaryota; Metazoa; Nematoda; Chromadorea; Rhabditida; Rhabditidae.
AUGGUUCACGUCAUUGAAAAUCCACCAAUUCCAUUGACUACACCAAUCUAUGAGGGAAUGAGAGAACAUUCAUCUGUGGAAAUUCAUGGAGAAGUAUUUCAAGGUCCACAGGGAGGAUUCACAGUCGAAUUUCCCACCAAAAAUGGAGUUGCUCUUCAUAUAUCGGUUCGAAUGGGUUCAUAUGGUCAAAAUGUGAUUGUAUUUAAUCAUUUACAAAGAGGAAGAUGGCAUCGAGAAGAACAUCAUCAGAAUACAAUCAUGUUUGGCCGACCAUUUUGUAUGAGAAUUCAUAAUGAGCACAGAAAAUAUUCGGUUGGUUCUUCUAUUGUUCUGUAAUCCACAGGGUCUCAUUUGAGGCAAACUCGGCCGUGUGGAUUUACGAGAUGGUCUCAAAAACGUUCAAAAACUCUCCCGGCUUCUCAUCCAUGUUCGAGUAAUAACGUCGAUCAGAGCCAUAUUCAGUAGACGUUUAAAAAUGAGAAUUUCGCCACAUCUUACACGCAGGGGUCUCGCCACGCGAAGUGACUGUAUAUCGUGUCGAGCUGCUCGUAAAUUGACACGAGCUACAGUAACUCGGUUUCAGCGUGGCGAGACCCAUGCGCGUAAAAUAUGAUGAAAUUCGCAACUGUAGAUGCCUACGUAAUAAAACAAAUUUAGAAGUUCUAAGUAGAUUUUCUUUUUCGUAAAUAUUGUGAAUACAUAUUACCUUUUUGCGUAAAAAAACAAUUUUCAACCCAAAAUCAAGAUAUCGGGUCCUGAAACUUCUCAGCUACCGUACCCACGAGUGUGAAAGACUUUAUGUUAAAACCUAAUUUCUCUAAUUAUUUGAGUUUAGAAUAUCAGAUUAUUGAACACAGAUAGUUUUUUUUUAUUCAAACAAUAUUCUCGUAAAAACAAUCAAUUUAAUUCCAGAUCCACGUGGACGGACAUCACAUCGGACAUUAUCAUCAUCAUAAAUGCCCAAAACGAAUCGUUGCAAUGACUGUUCGAGGAGAUCUUCGAGUUGGAAAAAUUCAUUUCGAAAACUUCAAACAUCAUAACGGAGGAGGUACUGAAAUCGGUGUAAUGCAAAUGCCUGUUGCUCCAACUCCGAUCGUUGUUGCUCAACCACCGCCUCCAAUGAUUGUUCCCCAACCACAGAUUGUUCCGGUUGUUCAGCAAAUUAUGCAACCAAUGGUUCAACCCAUAUAUCCAAGUGUUCAACCAAUCGUGUAUCCAACUGCUACUCCAAUCAUCUAUACUCAACCUGAAGUUAUCUACAUGGACGGUUAUCAUCACCACCGUCACCAUCACUAUUGA